RNAcentral lists this ribosomal RNA (539 nucleotides) under uncultured bacterium. RNAcentral's name for it is "bacterial SSU rRNA". It matches the Rfam family "Bacterial small subunit ribosomal RNA", at positions 773 to 1319 of the family's 1533-position model. The record is from RNAcentral.
ACGCAAUAGAUACCCGGGUAGUCCACGCCCUAAACGAUGUCUACUAGCUGUCGGGUCUUAAUUGACUUGGUAAACGCAGCUAAACGCGUGAAGUAGACCGCCUGGGGAGUACGGUCGCAAGAUUAGAACUCAAAGGAAUUGACGGGGACCCGCACAAGCGGUGGAUGAUGUGGAUUAAUUCGAUGCAACGCGAAAACCUUACCUACCCUUGACAUGUACGGAACCCUGCUGAAAGGUGGGGUGCUCGAAAGAGAGCCGUAACACAGGUGCUGCAUGGCUGUCGUCAGCUCGUGUCGUGAGAUGUUGGGUUAAGUCCCGCAACGAGCGCAACCCUUGUCAUUAGUUGCUACGAAAGGGCACUCUAAUGAGACUGCCGGUGACAAACCGGAGGAAGGUGGGGAUGACGUCAAGUCCUCAUGGCCCUUAUGGGUAGGGCUUCACACGUCAUACAAUGGUACAUACAGAGGGCUGCCAACCCGCAGGGGAGCUAAUCCCAGAAAGUGUAUCGUAGUCCGGAUUGUAGUCUGCAACUCGACUAC